AAGUCGUAACAAGGUUUCCGUAGGUGAACCUGCGGAAGGAUCAUUGCUAAACGAAUCCCUUGCGGAUUCAACGAUCCAUAUAAAACCCACUUGUGCACUGUUGUAGUGAUUGUCACUCUUUUGGGCGGACAAGGUUUAACCUCAUUGGGUUAAGGAAUGGGAGAACACUUCAGUUUGAAGAUCUCCAAUUUUCCCCGCUCCCAAUGUUUGGACCCCGCCCAGAGGUGACUUUAGUCAAACUCUUGUUUUUAAAUCAAUGUCUGAAGUUAUCUGGUCUUCUGAUCAGAGUUUGUUUAACAAAAUACAACUUUCAACAAUGGAUCUCUUGGCUCUC
Molecule: unclassified non-coding RNA, 334 nt
Filed under: fungal sp.
Lineage: Eukaryota; Fungi
Description: partial internal transcribed spacer region
Rfam family: Eukaryotic small subunit ribosomal RNA (bases 1-46)
Source: RNAcentral